This 251-nucleotide ribosomal RNA is filed under the name uncultured bacterium. RNAcentral's name for it is "partial 16S ribosomal RNA". It matches the Rfam family "Bacterial small subunit ribosomal RNA", at positions 525 to 775 of the family's 1533-position model. The record is from RNAcentral.
ACGUAGGUGGCGAGCGUUGUUCGGAAUUAUUGGGCGUAAAGGGUCCGCAGGUGGCCUGACAAGUCUGACGUGAAAUCUCACGGCUCAACCGUGAAACUGCGUUGGAAACUGUCGGGCUAGAGUAUCGGAGAGGUCAUUGGAAUUCCAGGUGUAGCGGUGGAAUGCGUAGAUAUCUGGAAGAACACCGAGAGCGUAGGCAGAUGACUGGACGAUAACUGACACUCAGGGACGAAAGCAUGGGGAGCAAACAG